Transfer RNA from Puccinia sorghi, 72 nucleotides. It matches the Rfam family "tRNA". Rfam says of the family: Transfer RNA (tRNA) molecules are approximately 80 nucleotides in length. Their secondary structure includes four short double-helical elements and three loops (D, anti-codon, and T loops). The record is from Rfam. Lineage: Eukaryota; Fungi; Basidiomycota; Pucciniomycetes; Pucciniales; Pucciniaceae.
GUGUAAUUGGGUUGAUGAUUAUAGCAUCACUCAUGAAUGCUGAGGUUGUGGGUUCAAAUCCCACAGUACACA